RNAcentral lists this ribosomal RNA (232 nucleotides) under uncultured bacterium. Its description in RNAcentral is "partial 16S ribosomal RNA". It matches the Rfam family "Bacterial small subunit ribosomal RNA", at positions 524 to 755 of the family's 1533-position model. The record is from RNAcentral.
UACGUAGGAGGCGAGCGUUGUCCGGAGUUACUGGGCGUAAAGCGCACGCAGGCGGUCAGAUCAGUCUGGAGUGACAGUCGUCGGCUUAACCGACGAAGUGUUCUGGAAACUGUCUGACUUGAGGGCUUCAGAGGGACACGGAAUUCCGGGUGGAGUGGUGAAAUGCGUAGAUAUCCGGAGGAACACCAAUGGCGAAGGCAGUGUCCUGGGAAGUACCUGACGCUCAGGUGCG